RNAcentral lists this ribosomal RNA (425 nucleotides) under uncultured bacterium. RNAcentral describes it as "partial 16S ribosomal RNA". It matches the Rfam family "Bacterial small subunit ribosomal RNA", at positions 354 to 796 of the family's 1533-position model. The record is from RNAcentral.
GUGGGGAAUAUUGGACAAUGGGCGAAAGCCUGAUCCAGCCAUGCCGCGUGAGUGAUGAAGGCCUUAGGGUUGUAAAGCUCUUUCAGUAGGGAAGAUAAUGACGGUACCUACAGAAGAAGCCCCGGCUAACUUCGUGCCAGCAGCCGCGGUAAUACGAAUGGGGCUAGCGUUGUUCGGAUUUACUGGGCGUAAAGCGCACGUAGGCGGAUUGGUCAGUUAGAGGUGAAAUCCUGGAGCUCAACUCCAGAACUGCCUUUAAUACUGCCAGUCUAGAGGCCAGAAGAGGUGAGUGGAACUCCUAGUGUAGAGGUGGAAUUCGUAGAUAUUAGGAAGAACACCAGUGGCGAAGGCGGCUCACUGGUCUGGUACUGACGCUGAGGUGCGAAAGCGUGGGGAGCAAACAGGAUUAGAAACCCGGGUAGUCC